This 2921-nucleotide ribosomal RNA is filed under the name Staphylococcus aureus M1407. Its description in RNAcentral is "bacterial LSU rRNA". It matches the Rfam family "Bacterial large subunit ribosomal RNA". Lineage: Bacteria; Bacillati; Bacillota; Bacilli; Caryophanales; Staphylococcaceae. The record is from RNAcentral.
UUAAGUUAUUAAGGGCGCACGGUGGAUGCCUUGGCACUAGAAGCCGAUGAAGGACGUUACUAACGACGAUAUGCUUUGGGGAGCUGUAAGUAAGCUUUGAUCCAGAGAUUUCCGAAUGGGGAAACCCAGCAUGAGUUAUGUCAUGUUAUCGAUAUGUGAAUACAUAGCAUAUCAGAAGGCACACCCGGAGAACUGAAACAUCUUAGUACCCGGAGGAAGAGAAAGAAAAUUCGAUUCCCUUAGUAGCGGCGAGCGAAACGGGAAGAGCCCAAACCAACAAGCUUGCUUGUUGGGGUUGUAGGACACUCUAUACGGAGUUACAAAGGACGACAUUAGACGAAUCAUCUGGAAAGAUGAAUCAAAGAAGGUAAUAAUCCUGUAGUCGAAAAUGUUGUCUCUCUUGAGUGGAUCCUGAGUACGACGGAGCACGUGAAAUUCCGUCGGAAUCUGGGAGGACCAUCUCCUAAGGCUAAAUACUCUCUAGUGACCGAUAGUGAACCAGUACCGUGAGGGAAAGGUGAAAAGCACCCCGGAAGGGGAGUGAAAUAGAACCUGAAACCGUGUGCUUACAAGUAGUCAGAGCCCGUUAAUGGGUGAUGGCGUGCCUUUUGUAGAAUGAACCGGCGAGUUACGAUUUGAUGCAAGGUUAAGCAGUAAAUGUGGAGCCGUAGCGAAAGCGAGUCUGAAUAGGGCGUUUAGUAUUUGGUCGUAGACCCGAAACCAGGUGAUCUACCCUUGGUCAGGUUGAAGUUCAGGUAACACUGAAUGGAGGACCGAACCGACUUACGUUGAAAAGUGAGCGGAUGAACUGAGGGUAGCGGAGAAAUUCCAAUCGAACCUGGAGAUAGCUGGUUCUCUCCGAAAUAGCUUUAGGGCUAGCCUCAAGUGAUGAUUAUUGGAGGUAGAGCACUGUUUGGACGAGGGGCCCCUCUCGGGUUACCGAAUUCAGACAAACUCCGAAUGCCAAUUAAUUUAACUUGGGAGUCAGAACAUGGGUGAUAAGGUCCGUGUUCGAAAGGGAAACAGCCCAGACCACCAGCUAAGGUCCCAAAAUAUAUGUUAAGUGGAAAAGGAUGUGGCGUUGCCCAGACAACUAGGAUGUUGGCUUAGAAGCAGCCAUCAUUUAAAGAGUGCGUAAUAGCUCACUAGUCGAGUGACACUGCGACGAAAAUGUACCGGGGCUAAACAUAUUACCGAAGCUGUGGAUUGUCCUUUGGACAAUGGUAGGAGAGCGUUCUAAGGGCGUUGAAGCAUGAUCGUAAGGACAUGUGGAGCGCUUAGAAGUGAGAAUGCCGGUGUGAGUAGCGAAAGACGGGUGAGAAUCCCGUCCACCGAUUGACUAAGGUUUCCAGAGGAAGGCUCGUCCGCUCUGGGUUAGUCGGGUCCUAAGCUGAGGCCGACAGGCGUAGGCGAUGGAUAACAGGUUGAUAUUCCUGUACCACCUAUAAUCGUUUUAAUCGAUGGGGGGACGCAGUAGGAUAGGCGAAGCGUGCGAUUGGAUUGCACGUCUAAGCAGUAAGGCUGAGUAUUAGGCAAAUCCGGUACUCGUUAAGGCUGAGCUGUGAUGGGGAGAAGACAUUGUGUCUUCGAGUCGUUGAUUUCACACUGCCGAGAAAAGCCUCUAGAUAGAAAAUAGGUGCCCGUACCGCAAACCGACACAGGUAGUCAAGAUGAGAAUUCUAAGGUGAGCGAGCGAACUCUCGUUAAGGAACUCGGCAAAAUGACCCCGUAACUUCGGGAGAAGGGGUGCUCUUUAGGGUUAACGCCCAGAAGAGCCGCAGUGAAUAGGCCCAAGCGACUGUUUAUCAAAAACACAGGUCUCUGCUAAACCGUAAGGUGAUGUAUAGGGGCUGACGCCUGCCCGGUGCUGGAAGGUUAAGAGGAGUGGUUAGCUUCUGCGAAGCUACGAAUCGAAGCCCCAGUAAACGGCGGCCGUAACUAUAACGGUCCUAAGGUAGCGAAAUUCCUUGUCGGGUAAGUUCCGACCCGCACGAAAGGCGUAACGAUUUGGGCACUGUCUCAACGAGAGACUCGGUGAAAUCAUAGUACCUGUGAAGAUGCAGGUUACCCGCGACAGGACGGAAAGACCCCGUGGAGCUUUACUGUAGCCUGAUAUUGAAAUUCGGCACAGCUUGUACAGGAUAGGUAGGAGCCUUUGAAACGUGAGCGCUAGCUUACGUGGAGGCGCUGGUGGGAUACUACCCUAGCUGUGUUGGCUUUCUAACCCGCACCACUUAUCGUGGUGGGAGACAGUGUCAGGCGGGCAGUUUGACUGGGGCGGUCGCCUCCUAAAAGGUAACGGAGGCGCUCAAAGGUUCCCUCAGAAUGGUUGGAAAUCAUUCAUAGAGUGUAAAGGCAUAAGGGAGCUUGACUGCGAGACCUACAAGUCGAGCAGGGUCGAAAGACGGACUUAGUGAUCCGGUGGUUCCGCAUGGAAGGGCCAUCGCUCAACGGAUAAAAGCUACCCCGGGGAUAACAGGCUUAUCUCCCCCAAGAGUUCACAUCGACGGGGAGGUUUGGCACCUCGAUGUCGGCUCAUCGCAUCCUGGGGCUGUAGUCGGUCCCAAGGGUUGGGCUGUUCGCCCAUUAAAGCGGUACGCGAGCUGGGUUCAGAACGUCGUGAGACAGUUCGGUCCCUAUCCGUCGUGGGCGUAGGAAAUUUGAGAGGAGCUGUCCUUAGUACGAGAGGACCGGGAUGGACAUACCUCUGGUGUACCAGUUGUCGUGCCAACGGCAUAGCUGGGUAGCUAUGUGUGGACGGGAUAAGUGCUGAAAGCAUCUAAGCAUGAAGCCCCCCUCAAGAUGAGAUUUCCCAACUUCGGUUAUAAGAUCCCUCAAAGAUGAUGAGGUUAAUAGGUUCGAGGUGGAAGCAUGGUGACAUGUGGAGCUGACGAAUACUAAUCGAUCGAAGACUUAAUCAA